AUGACACGAGGCGGGGUAAUGGAAGACCCGCAGUACGGAAUGACAACAAUGGAUCUCAACAAUCUUGCGUAUGUAGACGAACCAUUCGUCCUAGCCAAUGAUGUGGCACAGGUUUUCUAUGUGAAGGACAUGUCUACCAAGCCAAGAAAAAGAAAAGAUAAGGAAGCGAAUGCAUCGUACGAUGAGCCAAAGCGGCACAUAGUUCUUUCUGGGAAGAGAAACAUCGUGGGAGUGGAUGACAAGACAGACAAGUCAGAAGAUUAUGAAAAGUUUGAUGAAAUUGCUCCAUUCACAGUGAAUAUUGACCCGAGCAUCCCGUUAAAUGAUGAAGAUUUUCCAUGGUUACGGCGCAAAGGGACACACGCGAAGAAAAAGUUUCACACCCAAAGAUUUGGGAUGUGA
RNAcentral lists this ribosomal RNA (402 nucleotides) under Triticum aestivum (bread wheat). Its description in RNAcentral is "partial small subunit ribosomal RNA". Lineage: Eukaryota; Viridiplantae; Streptophyta; Magnoliopsida; Poales; Poaceae. The record is from RNAcentral.